This 459-nucleotide ribosomal RNA is filed under the name uncultured bacterium. RNAcentral describes it as "partial 16S ribosomal RNA". It matches the Rfam family "Bacterial small subunit ribosomal RNA", at positions 338 to 795 of the family's 1533-position model. The record is from RNAcentral.
CCUACGGGCGGCAGCAGUGAGGAAUAUUGGUCAAUGGGAGAGAUCCUGAACCAGCCAAGCCGCGUGAGGGAAGACGGCCCUAUGGGUUGUAAACCUCUUUUGUCGGAGAACAAAACCCGGGACGUGUCCCGGACUGCGUGUAUCCGAAGAAAAAGCAUCGGCUAACUCCUUGCCAGCAGCCGCGGUAAUACGGAGGCUGCGGGCGUUUGCCGGAUUUAUUGGGGUUAAGGGGUCCGUGGGCGGUCCGUUAAGUCAGCGGGAAAAUUGAGGGGCUCAACCCCGUCGAGCCGUUGAAACUGGCAGACUUGAGUGGGGGAGAAGUACGCGGAAUGCGCGGUGUAGCGGGGAAAUGCGUAGAUAUCGGGCAGAACUCCGAUUGCGAAGGCAGCGUACCGGCGCCAGACUGACGCUGAGGCACGAAAGCGUGGGGAUCGAACAGGAUUAGAUACCCGGGUAGUC